UAGGGAAUCUUCCGCAAUGGACGAAAGUCUGACGGAGCAACGCCGCGUGAGCGAUGAAGGCCUUCGGGUCGUAAAGCUCUGUUGUCAGGGAAGAACAAGUACCGGAGUAACUGCCGGUACCUUGACGGUACCUGACCAGAAAGCCACGGCUAACUACGUGCCAGCAGCCGCGGUAAUACGUAGGUGGCAAGCGUUGUCCGGAAUUAUUGGGCGUAAAGCGCGCGCAGGCGGUUCCUUAAGUCUGAUGUGAAAGCCCCCGGCUCAACCGGGGAGGGUCAUUGGAAACUGGGGAACUUGAGUGCAGAAGAGGAGAGCGGAAUUCCACGUGUAGCGGUGAAAUGCGUAGAGAUGUGGAGGAACACCAGUGGCGAAGGCGGCUCUCUGGUCUGUAACUGACGCUGAGGCGCGAAAGCGUGGGGAGCGAACAGGAUUAGAUACCCUGGUAGUCCACGCCGUAAACGAUGAGUGCUAAGUGUUAGAGGGUUUCCGCCCUUUAGUGCUGCAGCAAACGCAUUAAGCACUCCGCCUGGGGAGUACGGCCGCAAGGCUGA
Molecule: ribosomal RNA, 551 nt
Filed under: uncultured Bacillus sp.
Lineage: Bacteria; Bacillati; Bacillota; Bacilli; Caryophanales; Bacillaceae
Description: bacterial SSU rRNA
Rfam family: Bacterial small subunit ribosomal RNA
Source: RNAcentral